GUGCUUGCUUCGACAGCACAUAUACUAAAAUUGGAAUGGUACAGAGAAGAUCAGCAUGGCCCCUGAGCAAGGCUGACAUGCAAAUUUGUGAAGCGUUCCAUAUUUUU
Molecule: small nuclear RNA, 107 nt
Filed under: Monodon monoceros (narwhal)
Lineage: Eukaryota; Metazoa; Chordata; Mammalia; Artiodactyla; Monodontidae
Source: RNAcentral